Molecule: ribosomal RNA, 253 nt
Filed under: uncultured bacterium
Lineage: Bacteria
Description: partial 16S ribosomal RNA
Rfam family: Bacterial small subunit ribosomal RNA
Source: RNAcentral
UACGUAGGGUGCGAGCGUUGUCCGGAAUUAUUGGGCGUAAAGAGCUUGUAGGCGGUUUGUCGCGUCUGCUGUGAAAAUCCGAGGCUCAACCUCGGACUUGCAGUGGGUACGGGCAGACUAGAGUGUGGUAGGGGAGACUGGGAUUCCCGGUGUAGCGGUAAUAUGCGUAGAUAUCGGGAGGAACACCAGUGGCGAAGGCGGCUCUCUGGGGUAUUUCUGACGCUGAGGCACGAAAGCCAGGGGAGCGAACGGG